This 303-nucleotide ribosomal RNA is filed under the name uncultured bacterium. Its description in RNAcentral is "partial 16S ribosomal RNA". It matches the Rfam family "Bacterial small subunit ribosomal RNA", at positions 507 to 808 of the family's 1533-position model. The record is from RNAcentral.
AGCAGUCGCCGCGGGGAAUACGAAGGGUGCAAGCGUUACUCGGAAUUACUGGGCGUAAAGCGUGCGUAGGUGGUGGUUUAAGUCCGUUGUGAAAGCCCUGGGCUCAACCUGGGAAUUGCAGUGGAUACUGGGUCACUAGAGUGUGGUAGAGGAUAGUGGAAUUUCCGGUGUAGCAGUGAAAUGCGUAGAGAUCGGAAGGAACAUCUGUGGCGAAGGCGACUAUCUGGGCCAACACUGACACUGAGGCACGAAAGCGUGGGGAGCAAACAGGAUUAGAUACCCCAGUAGUCCCUGUCUCUUAUA